GCCGGGCGCGGUGGCGGGCGCCUGUAGUCCCAGCUACUCGGGAGGCUGAGGCAGGAGAAUAGCUUGAAUCCGGGAGGCGGAGGUUGCAGUGAGCUGAGACUGCACCACUGCCCUCCAGCCUGGGUGACAGAGCGAGACUCUGUCUCAA
RNAcentral lists this non-coding RNA (148 nucleotides) under Homo sapiens (human). The record is from Rfam by way of RNAcentral. Lineage: Eukaryota; Metazoa; Chordata; Mammalia; Primates; Hominidae.